UCUUGGUGGCUCUGAUGGUAAAGAAUCUGCCUGCCAAGCAGGAGAUGCAGGUUCAAUCCCUGAAUCAGGUA
RNAcentral lists this transfer RNA (71 nucleotides) under Capra hircus (goat). It matches the Rfam family "tRNA". Rfam says of the family: Transfer RNA (tRNA) molecules are approximately 80 nucleotides in length. Their secondary structure includes four short double-helical elements and three loops (D, anti-codon, and T loops). Further hydrogen bonds mediate the characteristic L-shaped molecular structure. tRNAs have two regions of fundamental functional importance: the anti-codon, which is responsible for specific mRNA codon recognition, and the 3' end, to which the tRNAs corresponding amino acid is attached (by aminoacyl-tRNA synthetases). tRNAs cope with the degeneracy of the genetic code in two manners: having more than one tRNA (with a specific anti-codon) for a particular amino acid; and 'wobble' base-pairing, i.e. permitting non-standard base-pairing at the 3rd anti-codon position. Lineage: Eukaryota; Metazoa; Chordata; Mammalia; Artiodactyla; Bovidae. The record is from Rfam by way of RNAcentral. RNAcentral also lists the same sequence under 1 other name.